Lycium barbarum (goji berry) is the source of this 837-nucleotide long non-coding RNA. RefSeq lists it as uncharacterized. The transcript is spliced from 3 exons. Lineage: Eukaryota; Viridiplantae; Streptophyta; Magnoliopsida; Solanales; Solanaceae. The record is from RefSeq and is a predicted model, not a curated record.
GAUAACCUCAACCGACUGCCCAAAAACCAAACUGAAGAACGCAACCAGCUGUUUAUGAAAGAAUAUAGAUACAACUCUCAAUAUCAUUAGUUUUAGUGAAAUAUUCCAUCAAAAAUAAGGUUCUGUUAGUAAGCCCCAAAUCAUCUACGAGCAUUAUAUCUUCUACUCACGGUGGAGAAUUGCCAUUUCGAUGUCAAGUCUCUAAAUUCGGACUUGAGUAAUUGAGCAUCUAAGGUCGAGGAGUAGAUACGAGUUGAGUUCUUGAGCUGUUGAGCUAAGACAAGGUUCAGGUAUUCCACCCAGCAGUAGUCAGUGCACUCCACUUGAUUCGGAGCUGGAGUCUAUUUUGGUAUGCUAUUUUGAGAUGUAUAUAGGGGUAUGACGGGGCCCUGUCCCGUCCUUUCUACAGUUUUGUACUCCAUUAGAGGUCUGUAGACAGUUGUAUGUAGUUGGGAUGUUAUGUAGCCUUGUCGGCUUCUUCUUGUUGUACAGUCAAUGUAGCGGCCUAGUCGGCUUGCAUCGUUAUCUUCAGCUUGUAUGUAUGUAUAUUGGUUGUGAGUUCUUGAUACAGAGACUAGUAUGUUGCUCUUACAGGAGUCGAUAUAGUUCAGUUAUAAGUCAUAUAUGGACCAUCCUGUUGUUCAGUGAGAUCCAGGUACAAGUAUAAGAGUGUCUGGUCAGUAGAGGUCGGGCACUCAUCAUGACUCAUCGGUUUGGGUCGUGACAUAGUGAACCUCAGGUUGUAAGGUGGUUGGAGAAUUACAAUUCUUAUCCUGUGUAGUCCAUUGUAGUGGGAUGUUUGUUUAUCUUGUCUUGAAGCUUGAACUGACUACUGGG